UUUGGUCACGGACCAAACCAAAACCAAAACCAAAACCAGAACCAACCCCACCCAACGCCCAUUCUUCCUCCACCCACCCCAUUCUUCAACCUCCGUCGGCGGCCUAGAUCCCGGCCAACUCCGUCCACUCCCUUGCCCGCCGACCACCGCCCCAGAACCCCCUCCUCCCCCUCUCUCUGUUCCACCGACGAGAACCACCAAAUCGAGCCAUAGCUCGGUAUCCCGGCUGACGGCGGCGCCAUGCCAUGGCGUCCAUGGCGACGGCGGCGCCCGGAUCGACGAACUGCAUCACCGUGCGGUGCAGAGGCGCCGGCUAGCAAGCCCCGACCUUCAAUGGUGGCGCUGGCGACCUCAGGGCCGGCAACCGCGUCCCUGCUCUACGGACGGCUCCCGCGCCGGCCAGACCUCCUCCUCGUUGUUCCCCUUCAAGGCCGGCCUGCACCGCCGCCCUCGCGUCCGACGGUAGCAGCCACGCCGGCUGUUCGUGGCGGGGGGCAGAGGGCUAGAGCGGGAGGUGCUGCCUGUCCUCGCACAAGGGGCUCGACCAGGACAUGAUCGACGACGAGCUCGUCCACCCUCGUCUCGAGGGAAACGUCCUCGAAUCCUACCAUGACGGCGCCCUGCAAGAGGAGACAUGGCGACCUGUUCAUCGGUGCUCUCUGGCUCUGUUACGGCGUCGACCACUGCACUAGGAGCAAGGGCCGCCUUGAGCAUGGGAGUGAAGGAAGUGUUGCACCUCCAUGGUUGCAGCAGCGACGAAGCAGUGUUGUGCAGGUAACUUUUGGAUUGUGUAAUGCUUGUCUUCCCUGCGUUGGGGGACAGCCAUUACUAGCAAAGCAAGCUGGCAUGCAGGCAGGCAAUGGCGUCUUGUUUGUGUAACAAUGGCUGAGGUUCAGAGCGCAUCAGAGGAGGUGGAGCAAAGCGGUGGUACAGGGAAGCGGCCUCUGAGGAAAAAACAUGAGGACUCACUGUGGCGAACAUGAUUGUCGAGACUUGCACAAGUGCACCACAUAGGUGCCCUGGUUGCUGCGGACCAUUCCUGGAAUUGGGACUGCCAUUACCUGCAAGCUAGCAUGCAGCGGACUCUUGUUGGUGUACAUGGUAAAGUAGUCCUGUACAUUUUCAGGUUCAGAGCGCAUCGGAGUAGGUUGAGCGAAGCGGGGUACAGGGAGGCGGCCUCUGAGGGGAAACAUGAGGAGGCACUGUGGCGAACAUCAUCGGCGCGACUUGCACAAGUGCACCGCGUAGGCGCUCCGGUUGCUGCCGGUUGACCAUAAAUCCUGGAAUUGGGCAGUAUGAACACUUUGUCUGCUGCCGGUUGACCAUAAAUCCUGGAAUUGGGCAGUAUGAACACUUUGUCUGCUAGCUCCGUUGUUUCAAUUGCUACUGCGUUGUUUACUGCUAUCUGAUUCAUGUGCUGGUGACAGACAUAGUGUUUACUGCUAUCUGAUUCAUUGGUUGGGAGCUGGUAGACAGCAUGUUGGUGGUCUUGUUUAAGUUGAAGGCUGCUUGCUAGGGAGGUGUGUGCUGUUGCCUGUUGGCAUAUUGCAACUUGUGUGUUCCAGUGCUUGCAUUCUUUAUGAGUUGAAUUCGUUUACUA
Lolium perenne is the source of this 1600-nucleotide long non-coding RNA. RefSeq lists it as uncharacterized. The record is from RefSeq and is a predicted model, not a curated record. NCBI's taxonomy places the organism in Eukaryota, Viridiplantae, Streptophyta, Magnoliopsida, Poales, Poaceae.